This 356-nucleotide ribosomal RNA is filed under the name Hynobius chinensis (Chinese salamander). Its description in RNAcentral is "partial 16S ribosomal RNA". Lineage: Eukaryota; Metazoa; Chordata; Amphibia; Caudata; Hynobiidae. The record is from RNAcentral.
GUAAUAAAUUCAGCCUACUUCACCUUAAUAAGUUAAUAAUACUUUUUAAUUAAUUAAAUAAAACAUUUUCAUCAUUUUAGUAAAGGAGAUAGAAAAAUUCAUUAGCGCAAUAUAAAUAGUACUGCAAAGGAAAAAUGAAAUAGAAAUUAAAUAAAUCAUAAAAACAAUAAAAAGCAAAGAUUAAACCUUUUACCUUUUGCAUCAUGGUCUAGUAAGUUUAACCUAACAUAAAGAACUUAAGUUAGACACCCCGAAACUAAAUGAGCUACUACGAAGCAGCAAAACGAGCCAACCCUUCUCUGUGGCAAAAGAGUGGGAAGACUUCCUAGUAGUGGUGACAAACCUAACGAGUUUAG